RNAcentral lists this ribosomal RNA (497 nucleotides) under uncultured bacterium. RNAcentral describes it as "partial 16S ribosomal RNA". It matches the Rfam family "Bacterial small subunit ribosomal RNA", at positions 28 to 507 of the family's 1533-position model. The record is from RNAcentral.
GAUGAACGCUGGCGGCGUGCCUAAUACAUGCAAGUCGAGCGAACGGACGAGAAGCUUGCUUCUCUGAUGUUAGCGGCGGACGGGUGAGUAACACGUGGAUAACCUACCUAUAAGACUGGGAUAACUUCGGGAAACCGUAGCUAAUACCGGAUAAUAUUUUGAACCGCAUGGUUCAAAAGUGAAAGACGGUCUUGCUGUCACUUAUAGAUGGAUCCGCGCUGCAUUAGCUAGUUGGUAAGGUAACGGCUUACCAAGGCAACGAUGCAUAGCCGACCUGAGAGGGGGGUCGGCCACCGUGGACCGGAGACCGGUACCAGCAACCAAGGGGGGGAGGAAGAGGGAAUUCUUCGGAAAGGGCGGAAGGCCGAAAGGAGCAACGCGGGGGGGGGGUUGAAGGUUUUCGGAUCGAAAACUUCUUUUAUGGGGGAAAAAAAUAUGGUAAAGUACCUGUACACAUCUUGACGUUACCUAAUCAGAAGCCCAGGGCUAGCUAGGAG